GAACUUGCUAUCUAGAUAGACCAGGCUGGCCUCAGAAUCACAUGAUGUUGUCUCCCAAAUGCUCUCCCCUAGGCCAGAGCUGCACAUGCUCCCAAGGUCCAAGGAUGAAACCUAUGUGCCCAGCAGUCACCAGAGGUCUUAGGAUGUGCAUUUCUUCAAAUCCGCCUUUCCAAACUUGUCUGGCUGGAGAGACAAUUCACUCUAACUCCAUCCUCAGUCAAACGUGCCUGGCUGGACAAACAGGAGAGUUAAGUCUGCUAAUAAAAUAGAGCAAGAGAUACAACUGUGAGGAAACUAAGAGGCUUGGAGUUUGCCCUCAGUUUAAAGAGAUUACCUG
This is a long non-coding RNA of Mus musculus (house mouse), 337 nucleotides long. RefSeq annotates it as predicted gene, 40143. Lineage: Eukaryota; Metazoa; Chordata; Mammalia; Rodentia; Muridae. The record is from RefSeq and is a predicted model, not a curated record. The transcript has 3 exons.